RNAcentral lists this transfer RNA (72 nucleotides) under Bos taurus (domestic cattle). It matches the Rfam family "tRNA". Rfam says of the family: Transfer RNA (tRNA) molecules are approximately 80 nucleotides in length. RNAcentral also lists the same sequence under 3 other names. The record is from Rfam by way of RNAcentral. Lineage: Eukaryota; Metazoa; Chordata; Mammalia; Artiodactyla; Bovidae.
UCCCUGGUGGUCCAGUGGUUAAGAAUCUGCCUUGCAAUGCAGGGGAUGCAGGUUCGAUCCCUGGUCAGGGAA